CCUACGGGAGGCAGCAGUGAGGAAUAUUGGUCAAUGGGCUUACGCCUGAACCAGCCAAGUCGCGUGAGGGAAGACUGCCCUAUGGGUUGUAAACCUCUUUUGUCAGGGAGCAACGCCGGCUACGUGUAGCCGGACUGAGAGUACCUGAAGAAAAAGCAUCCGCUAACUCCGUGCCAGCAGCCGCGGUAAUACGGAGGAUGCGAGCGUAAUCCGGAUUUAUUGGGUUAAAAGGGUGCGUAGGCGGAAUGCCAAGUCAGCGGUAAAAUCGCGGGGCUCAACCUCGCUCCGCCGUUGAAACUGGCGUUCUUGAGUGGGCGAGAAGUAUGCGGAAUGCGUGGUGUAGCGGUGAAAUGCAUAGAUAUCACGCAGAACUCCGAUUGCGAAGGCAGCAUACCGGCGCCCAACUGACGCUGAAGCACGAAAGCGUGGGGAUCGAACAGGAUUAGAUACCCGAGUAGUC
Molecule: ribosomal RNA, 460 nt
Filed under: uncultured bacterium
Lineage: Bacteria
Description: partial 16S ribosomal RNA
Rfam family: Bacterial small subunit ribosomal RNA
Source: RNAcentral